UGGGGAAUAUUGCGCAAUGGGGGGAACCCUGACGCAGCCAUGCCGCGUGAAUGAAGAAGGCCUUAGGGUUGUAAAGUUCUUUCGGUAUUGAGGAAGGUUGAUGUGUUAAUAGCACAUCAAAUUGACGUUAAAUACAGAAGAAGCACCGGCUAACUCCGUGCCAGCAGCCGCGGUAAUACGGAGGGUGCGAGCGUUAAUCGGAAUAACUGGGCGUAAAGGGCACGCAGGCGGUUAUUUAAGUGAGGUGUGAAAGCCCCGGGCUUAACCUGGGAAUUGCAUUUCAGACUGGGUAACUAGAGUACUUUAGGGAGGGGUAGAAUUCCACGUGUAGCGGUGGAAUGCGUAGAGAUGUGGAGGAAUACCGAAGGCGAAGGCAGCCCCUUGGGAAUGUACUGACGCUCAUGUGCGAAAGCGUGGGGAGCAAACAGGAUUAGAUACCCUGGUAGUCCACGCUGUAAACGCUGUCGAUUUGGGGGUUGGGGUUUAACUCUGGCGCCCGUAGCUAACGUGAUAAAUCGACCGCCUGGGGAGUACGGCCGCAAGGUUA
This 547-nucleotide ribosomal RNA is filed under the name uncultured bacterium. RNAcentral describes it as "bacterial SSU rRNA". It matches the Rfam family "Bacterial small subunit ribosomal RNA", at positions 355 to 896 of the family's 1533-position model. The record is from RNAcentral.